Molecule: ribosomal RNA, 497 nt
Filed under: uncultured bacterium
Lineage: Bacteria
Description: partial 16S ribosomal RNA
Rfam family: Bacterial small subunit ribosomal RNA
Source: RNAcentral
GAUGAACGCUGGCGGCGUGCCUAAUACAUGCAAGUCGAGCGAACAGACGAGGAGCUUGCUCCUCUGACGUUAGCGGCGGACGGGUGAGUAACACGUGGAUAACCUACCUAUAAGACUGGGAUAACUUCGGGAAACCGGAGCUAAUACCGGAUAAUAUAUUGAACCGCAUGGUUCAAUAGUGAAAGACGGUUUUGCUGUCACUUAUAGAUGGAUCCGCGCCGCAUUAGCUAGUUGGUAAGGUAACGGCUUACCAAGGCAACGAUGCGUAGCCGACCUGAGAGGGUGAUCGGCCACACUGGAACUGAGAAACGGUACAGACUCCUACGGGAGGCAGCAGUAGGGAAUCUUCCGCGAUGGGCGAGAGCCUGACGGAGCAACGCCGCGUGAGUGAUGAAGGUCUUCGGAUCGUAAAACUCUGUUAUUAGGGAAGAACAAAUGUGUAAGUAACUAUGCACGUCUUGACGGUACCUAAUCAGAAAGCCACGGCUAACUACGUG